CGCUCAGUCGCUCUUCCCGCGUUGAUUCGCUCUUUCAGCAAACGUGGCCGGUCGGUCGGCUACGCGCCCGCCGCCUGCUGAAGCCGCCGCAGACCGGCCGUCGGGACACUUACCGGCCGCGGGGAGGGAAGAGCGGUCCUGCGGGGCAGGAACUCAGGCGCCCGAGACGCCCCGUCUUCCACGGGCGCAGCGAACUUUGGGCUGCAACCCGUACCGGGCCCUGCCUUAGUCUCUGGAAUUUCAAUCAAUAAAAGGCCCGACCUCCUGCAGUCAUGCACAUUUGGCUUCAUACUGUGACCCCAGAGCCCAAGGCCUCAUGACUCUGAUGCUGCUUCCUCACCCUCUGAAGAAUCCCUUUGAAAUUACCGUCCCAGCACAAAGUGGAACAGAAACUGAGAGAAAAAUUCUGAGGUGCUAAAUAAAACACAGUGAGCAGGAGAGUGAAAGUAACCAGCCAAGACCUGUGACCAACUCACAACGGACGGCUCACAUUCCUGACGGCGCUGGAGCUGCGCACCAACUCCUGCAGCAUCCUCCUAACGCACAACUUUCAGGGCGGUUCCCCACAGCCCAUCUCAGCGCUCAGCAUCUCUUCCUGACAGGCUGUGCACACCCAGGACGGCCGCUUCACCUUCCCCACCCCACCCUUCUGUCUGGAGCCGGUGUAAACUCAAAGCAACGUGCAUCUGUCUCUCCCAAAGCAUAGUGCCCAUCACCUCCAGGACUGGGCACAUGUCUGCCUCCUCCACCUGGCCUGCUGCUGGUGGUUGAGACCUCCUGCCCCAGGACCUGGUCCUUUUCUGGCUGGCAUUUGGCUCAAUAAACAGCUUUCAGCCAUGAGAAUUUGUUGUUUAACAAAAUCAAUGUAAUGUUCUGUCCUUUCAUUAAACAUUGAG
Long non-coding RNA from Eptesicus fuscus (big brown bat), 896 nucleotides. RefSeq lists it as uncharacterized. The transcript is spliced from 3 exons. The record is from RefSeq and is a predicted model, not a curated record. Lineage: Eukaryota; Metazoa; Chordata; Mammalia; Chiroptera; Vespertilionidae.